CAAGGCCCGGGAACGUAUUCACCGCGUCGUUGCUGAUACGCGAUUACUAGCGAUUCCGGCUUCAUGGAGUCGAGUUGCAGACUCCAAUCCGAACUUGGAGUGAUUUUAUGGAUUGGCUCCCUCUCGCGAGGUGGCUGCCCAUUGUAUCACCCAUUGUAGCACGUGUGCAGCCCCAGGCGUAAGGGCCAUGAUGACUUGACGUCGUCCCCACCUUCCUCACUGCUUGCGCAGGCGGUUUCACUAGAGUCCCCGGCAUGAUCCGCUGGUAACUAGUGACAGGGGUUGCGCUCGUUGCGGGACUUAACCCAACAUCUCACGACACGAACUGACGACAGCCAUGCAGCACCUCGCGAUCGACCCGAAGGAGGAUCCCUUUCAAGACCUGUCCGACCGCGUUCGAGCCUGGGUAAGGUUCUUCGCGUUGCAUCGAAUUAAGCCACAUGCUCCACGUCUUGUGCGGGCCACCGUCAAUUCCUUUGAGUUUCACUCUUGAGAGCGUACUCCCCAGGUGGGAUGCUUAACGCGUUAGCUUGGGCGCUGACCCCACAAUGAGGGCCAACACCGAGCAUCCAUCGUUUACGGCGUGGACUACCAGGGUAUCUAAUCCUGUUUGCUCCCCACGCUUUCGUGCCUCAGCGUCAGUACUCGUCCAGUCGCCCGCAUACGCCUCUGGUGUUCCUCGUGAUAUCUACGCAUUUCACCGCUACACCACGAAUUCCAGCGACCUCUCCGAGACUCAAGAACGGCAGUUUCAAAGGCAGUUCCACGGUUGAGCCGUGGGCUUUCACCUCUGACAUACCGUCCCGCCUACACACCCUUUACACCCAGUGAAUCCGGACAACGCUUGCACCCUCCG
This 856-nucleotide ribosomal RNA is filed under the name uncultured Gammaproteobacteria bacterium. RNAcentral's name for it is "partial 16S ribosomal RNA". The record is from RNAcentral. Lineage: Bacteria; Pseudomonadati; Pseudomonadota; Gammaproteobacteria.